CCUACGGGUGGCUGCAGUGAGGAAUAUUGGUCAAUGUCCGGAAGGCUGAACCAGCCAUGCCGCGUGAAGGUCAGUGCCCUAUGGGCGUUAAACUUCUUUUGUGCGGGAGCAAUAAUGGUCACGUGUGGCCAGACGAGAGUACCGUACGAAUAAGCAUCGGCUAACUCCGUGCCAGCAGCCGCGGUAAUACGGGGGAUGCAAGCGUUAUCCGGAUUUAUUGGGUUUAAAGGGUGCGUAGGCUGUGUGGUAAGGCAGCGGUGAAAGUCUGUGGCUCAACCAUGGAAUUGCCGUUGAAACUGGGAGGCUGGAGUAUGUUUGAGGCAGGCGGAAUGCGUGGUGUAGCGGUGAAAUGCUGAGAGAUCACGCAGAACCCCGAUUGCGAAGGCAGCCUGCCAAGCCAUGACUGACGCUGAUGCACGAAAGCGUGGGGAUCAAACAGGAUUAGAUACCCGAGUAGUC
Molecule: ribosomal RNA, 459 nt
Filed under: uncultured bacterium
Lineage: Bacteria
Description: partial 16S ribosomal RNA
Rfam family: Bacterial small subunit ribosomal RNA
Source: RNAcentral